Molecule: non-coding RNA, 75 nt
Organism: Myotis davidii
Lineage: Eukaryota; Metazoa; Chordata; Mammalia; Chiroptera; Vespertilionidae
Source: Rfam
GGCAGUUCUCAGGUGACAAGCCCCAGAAUCGGGCUCCCUCUUCUCUGGUUCCGGGUGCAUCAUCCAAGAACCACA